UACGGAGGGUGCGAGCGUUAUCCGGAAUUACUGGGUUUAAAGGGUGCGUAGGCGGGAUUUUAAGUCUAAGGUGAAAGUUUGUCGCUUAACGAUAGAAUUGCCUUGGAUACUGAAGUUCUUGAAUUAGGUUGAGGAUAGCGGAAUGUGACAUGUAGCGGUGAAAUGCAUAGAUAUGUCAUAGAACACCAAUUGCGAAGGCAGCUAUCUGGGCUUAUAUUGACGCUGAGGCACGAAAGCGUGGGGAUCGAACAGG
RNAcentral lists this ribosomal RNA (253 nucleotides) under uncultured bacterium. RNAcentral describes it as "partial 16S ribosomal RNA". It matches the Rfam family "Bacterial small subunit ribosomal RNA", at positions 524 to 776 of the family's 1533-position model. The record is from RNAcentral.